GUUUAUAAAUAGCCGCAGUAAUUUGACUGUGCAAAGGUAGCAUAAUCAUUUGCCUUAUAAUUGAGGGCUAGUAUGAAUGGAUUAACGAAAGUUUUUCUGUCUCUAGUUUAUAAUAAUAACUUGUAUUUAAUGUGAAGAUACAUUAAUUUUUUAGUGGGACAAGAAGACCCUUUUGAGCUUUAUUUAGAUUUUUUUUUUUAAUAAGUUUUAAUUUGGUUGGGGCGACCUGUGAAGAUUAAAAUUUUUAGAUCUUCUUUUAAGAAUAAAGAACCAUUAGUUUUGGGUUUUAGAUUAAGUUACCAAAGGGAUAACAGCGUAAUUUUUUUUUAGAGUUCUUAUUAAAAAAAAAGAUUGCGACCUCGAUGUUGACUUAUGAUU
This 378-nucleotide ribosomal RNA is filed under the name Antarctonemertes unilineata. RNAcentral's name for it is "partial 16S ribosomal RNA". It matches the Rfam family "Bacterial large subunit ribosomal RNA", at positions 1919 to 2544 of the family's 2925-position model. The record is from RNAcentral. Lineage: Eukaryota; Metazoa; Nemertea; Enopla; Monostilifera; Oerstediidae.